Molecule: ribosomal RNA, 253 nt
Filed under: uncultured bacterium
Lineage: Bacteria
Description: partial 16S ribosomal RNA
Rfam family: Bacterial small subunit ribosomal RNA
Source: RNAcentral
UACGUAGGGUGCGAGCGUUGUCCGGAAUUAUUGGGCGUAAAGGGCUCGUAGGCGGUCUGUCGCGUCGGGAGUGAAAACUCAGGGCUUAACCCUGAGCCUGCUUCCGAUACGGGCAGACUAGAGGUAUGCAGGGGAGAACGGAAUUCCUGGUGUAGCGGUGGAAUGCGCAGAUAUCAGGAGGAACACCGGUGGCGAAGGCGGUUCUCUGGGCCGUAACUGACGCUGAGGAGCGAAAGCACGGGGAGCGAACAGG